RNAcentral lists this unclassified non-coding RNA (337 nucleotides) under soil metagenome. RNAcentral's name for it is "partial contains 5.8S ribosomal RNA, internal transcribed spacer 2, and large subunit ribosomal RNA". The stretch from base 1 to 120 matches the Rfam family "5.8S ribosomal RNA", at positions 35 to 154 of the family's 154-position model. The record is from RNAcentral.
GAUGAAGAACGCAGCGAAAUGCGAAAAGUAGUGUGAAUUGCAGAAUUCAGUGAAUCAUCGAAUCUUUGAACGCACAUUGCGCCCCUUAGUAUUCCAUGGGGCAUGCCUGUUCGAGCGUCAUUUGUACCUUCAAGCUCUGCUUGGUGUUGGGUGUUUGUCCCGCUUUUUGCGUGGACUCGCCUCAAAGCAAUUGGCAGCCGGCGUACUAGCCUGGGAGCGCAGCACAUUUUGCGCAUCUCGACUGGAACGCUUGCGUCCAUUAAGCCUACACUUUUGCUCUUGACCUCGGAUCAGGUAGGGAUACCCGCUGAACUUAAGCAUAUCAAUAAGCGGAGGA